This 237-nucleotide ribosomal RNA is filed under the name uncultured bacterium. RNAcentral describes it as "partial 16S ribosomal RNA". It matches the Rfam family "Bacterial small subunit ribosomal RNA", at positions 100 to 334 of the family's 1533-position model. The record is from RNAcentral.
CCGGCACGGGUGAGUAACACGUAUCCAACCUGCCGUCUACUCUUGGACAGCCUUCUGAAAGGAAGAUUAAUACAAGAUGGCAUCAUGAGUCCGCAUGUUCACAUGAUUAAAGGUAUUCCGGUAGACGAUGGGGAUGCGUUCCAUUAGAUAGUAGGCGGGGUAACGGCCCACCUAGUCUUCGAUGGAUAGGGGUUCUGAGAGGAAGGACCCCCACAUUGGAACUGAGACACGGUCCAA